This 299-nucleotide signal recognition particle RNA is filed under the name Aotus nancymaae (Ma's night monkey). Its description in RNAcentral is "Metazoan signal recognition particle RNA (ENSANAG00000012933.1)". It matches the Rfam family "Metazoan signal recognition particle RNA". Rfam says of the family: The signal recognition particle (SRP) is a universally conserved ribonucleoprotein. The record is from RNAcentral. Lineage: Eukaryota; Metazoa; Chordata; Mammalia; Primates; Aotidae.
GCCGGGCGCCGUGGUGUGUACCUGUAGUCCCAGCUGCUCAGGAGGCUGAGGCUGGAGGAUCGCUUGAGUCCAGGAGUUCUGGGCUGUAGUGCACUAUGCCGAUCAGGUGUCUGCACUAAGUUCGGCAUCAAUAUGGUGACCUCCUGGGAGCAGGGGACCACCAGGUUGCCUAAGAAAGGGUGAACUGACCCAGGUCGGAAACGGAGCAGGUCAAAACUCCUGUGCUGAUCAGUAGUGGGAUCACGCCUGUGAAUAGCCACUUCAUUCCAGCCUGGGCAACAUAGCAAGACCCUGUCUGU